CCCAGUAGAACUUGGGACCACCCUCCUAUGCAUUUAAACCAAUCCCGUAUUCAAGCGAGGCCAUCCUACCUCCCAACCUAGGAGGUCCGGUCCGACCUCGGUACAUUAAAUAAUCGCGGGCACCAGGGAUCUCUCUGAAGGGUGGCGGGGAGAAGGGAACGCGGAGAGGGGCAGGUGGCUUGGCCGGUCAGGCGGCGGCCUCGGGCAAGGAAGCCGUGUUUACACCUGUCACGAGGAAGAGGCGAAGGGUGGGGGAGAGAAAGCAAAGCUCCAAACUUCACAACUCUCUGUGUGUGUGUGUGUGUGUGUGUGUGUCUGUGUCUCUGUGUGUGUGUGUGUGUCUGUGUGUGUGUGUGUGUGUGCAUGCUUUUUUUUUUUCCCGAGGGAGCGGAAGAAGAGCAAAUCAGGGCAGGUAGAGGGAUCUGGACCAGGAGAGGGGCGCGGGGUGGGUCCAGGUGGGGAGGGGGAGAGGUCGCCCCCGGCCGGGGCCGGGGAGCUGGGGGUUGUCAGGGCGGCGGCCGGAGCCCCGCAGCGGGGUGCGGGGCUGGGGGGGGAGCGGCCCCAGCCCCGGCCCCGGCCCCCGAGGACGGACUCGCCCGCAGGCCCGCAGAGCCGCUUCCUUCCCCGCACCCCCAGGCAGGAGCCCCUCACUGCUGCCGCCCGCCCCUCCGUCCCCCCCGCCCCCUGCUCCGGCCAGCCCCGGGGCGGCCUCGGAGGCGGCGCGGUGGGAGUUUCCAGCGUCUGGGCAGCCCCGUCCUCAGAAGGAAGGCGACCCUGGCGCGGCGACCGCUUCUUACCUGGCUCCUCCAAGGCGGCCGCGAUGGGCAUGGCUCGGGGCCGGGGGAGGAACUGGCUCCUCCGGGGCGGAGCGGAGUGGGCGACUAGAGAGGCCGAGCUUCCCGCCGCUCUCUCAGCGGAGCGGCGCCAUCUACACCCACCCGGACUUUCAGCGGCGCCGCGGUACCCCCAUCCCGCUACCCUCCGCCUGCCUCCGCCGCCGCCGCCGCCGCCUCCUCCACCUCCUCCUCCUCCUCCUCCUCCUCCUCCGCGGAGAUUCCCCCCGCCCACUCCACACAUUCUCCCAUCAUGCAGCGGGAGAACCGCCGGCGCGGCUACGUCAUUUCCGGGAGCAAGGUGGCUGGGUGGGGGCCGGGCGGGUGAUGUGGGGAGGGACCCCUGGAAGAGAACUGGUGUCAUAGACGCUCUUGUCGAGCGCGGAGCUCAGCCCGCCAUUUUGGAUGCGGGCAAAAUUGCCCUUUUCUUGGUGCGGGGCGAGCCGCGGAGAAUCCCAGCAGCCUUCUGUGCCCUGGAUCUCUAAAGCUCCAGUCCUCACAUGGGAUAGGAAGCAUCUCAUCUCUACGGGCACCGCUUCCUGCACUGCACAAUCCAGAGACGCAGACUGUAAUCCAUCUGUGGUUGCCCAUCCUGUGAGAUUGUCAUCCACGUCCUGCCACAAGUGUGUCAAGGGAGUCCAUUCCCUGUGCUGGGAGACCUUCUUUGCAUUCUCUUGACUCUAUGUGGAUAUCAGUAGAGUACGCGCCCAAUCCAACUGUUAUCUCUCAUUCUUGCUACAUGACUGGUC
Molecule: long non-coding RNA, 1582 nt
Organism: Phascolarctos cinereus (koala)
Lineage: Eukaryota; Metazoa; Chordata; Mammalia; Diprotodontia; Phascolarctidae
Source: Ensembl